GAUGAACGCUAGCGGCAGGCCUAAUACAUGCAAGUCGAGGGAGAAUGUUGGAUUCGUCUGACAUGAAACCGGCGCACGGGUGCGUAACGCGUAUGCAACCUACCUUUAACUGGGGUAUAGCUCAGAGAAAUCUGAAUUAAUCCCCCAUAAGACUACGACAUGGCAUCAUGAUGUAGUUAAAGCUCCGGCGGUUAAGGAUGGGCAUGCGGUACAUUAGCUAGUUGGUGAGGUAAUGGCUCACCAAGGCUACGAUGUAUAGGGGGUCUGAGAGGAUGAUCCCCCACACUGGGACUGGGACACGGACCAGACUACUACGGGAGGCAGCAGUAGGGAAUAUUGGUCAAUGGACGCAAGUCUGAACCAGCCAUGCCGCGUGAAGGAUGAAGGCCCUAUGGGUCGUAAACUUCUUUUAUUAGGGAAGAAAAAACGGGAUGCGUCCUGUACUGACGGUACUUAAUGAAUAAGGAUCGGCUAACUUCGUGCCAGCAGCCGCCGUAA
Molecule: ribosomal RNA, 498 nt
Filed under: uncultured bacterium
Lineage: Bacteria
Description: partial 16S ribosomal RNA
Rfam family: Bacterial small subunit ribosomal RNA
Source: RNAcentral